AUUUGCAGGCAUGAACACGGUGAAGCGAAUAGUUGUUCUUAGGAACAAUUUCCCUUGCAGUCUUUCACAGACACCCAGGAGAAAACUGGUGCUCAGGGGCACAAAAUUCCAACUAAAAGAAACAGAGGACUUUACAGGUUUUCCAUGUGGCCCUCUGGAUAAAACAGAAGGCCUCAAGGAUUGUUCUAAAGCUUGGACUUCAAGUUCACAGCAGCCAGCUGUAACUCAGAGGCCGCGUGUUCAAGCCACGAAGAUGCCAGGAACUGGGAAGACAAGAGAUCAGAUGUCAGGAGCAAUGGAGCACCAGCGGUGGAAGAACCUGCCUCGCCUAGCUCCAUCAAAGGCCACAGGCCCAUGAGAAUCACCCAGCCUACUCUGAGCCGCACAGCGGAGGCCACAGCCGCGCACAGGAAAGUGAGAGGAAGUGGAAACGUGCGAGCAGAGGGCUCAAAGCAACGGGCUCACCACCGGAAAAAAAAAAUAAAAAUAAACAUGCUCAGAAAUAGUGUAACUGAUAUGCAAAGAAGAUCAAAA
Molecule: long non-coding RNA, 534 nt
Filed under: Aotus nancymaae (Ma's night monkey)
Lineage: Eukaryota; Metazoa; Chordata; Mammalia; Primates; Aotidae
Description: lncRNA (ENSANAG00000039363.1)
Source: RNAcentral